UUAUGGCCAUAUCACAUUGAAACACUGGUUCCCAUACAGUCAGCAAAGUUAAGCAACAUUGAACAUGGUCAGUAUCUAGAUGGGUGACCAUUUGGGAAUACCAGGUGCUACAA
Acanthosepion pharaonis is the source of this 113-nucleotide non-coding RNA. NCBI's taxonomy places the organism in Eukaryota, Metazoa, Mollusca, Cephalopoda, Sepiida, Sepiidae. The record is from the annotation of a GenBank genome assembly.